RNAcentral lists this ribosomal RNA (440 nucleotides) under uncultured bacterium. RNAcentral's name for it is "partial 16S ribosomal RNA". It matches the Rfam family "Bacterial small subunit ribosomal RNA", at positions 339 to 795 of the family's 1533-position model. The record is from RNAcentral.
CUACGGGGCGCACCAGUGAGGAAUAUUGCACAAUGGGGGGAACCCUGAUGCAGCAACGCCGCGUGGAGGAUGACGCAUUUCGGUGUGUAAACUCCUUUUAUAUGUCAAGAAAAUGACGGUAGCAUAUGAAUAAGCUCCGGCUAACUCCGUGCCAGCAGGCCGCGGUAAUACGGAGGGUGCAAGCGUUACUCGGAAUCACUGGGCGUAAAGGACGCGUAGGCGGGUUGGAAAGUCAGGUGUGAAAUCCUACAGCUUAACUGUAGAACUGCACUUGAAACUUCUAAUCUAGAGUAUGGGAGGGGGAGAUGGAAUUAGUGGUGUAGGGGUAAAAUCCGUAGAUAUCACUAGGAAUACCUAAAGCGAAGGCGAUCUCCUGGAACAUUACUGACGCUAAGGCGUGAAAGCGUGGGGAGCAAACAGGAUUAGAUACCCUCGUAGUC